GGGUUUCACCAGAAGUAGGUAGUCUAACCGCAAGGAGGGCGCUUGCCACGGUGUGAUUCAUGACUGGGGUGAAGUCGUAACAAGGUAGCUAUAGGUGAACCUGCAGAAGGAUCA
Molecule: ribosomal RNA, 114 nt
Filed under: uncultured eukaryote
Lineage: Eukaryota
Description: partial small subunit ribosomal RNA
Rfam family: Bacterial small subunit ribosomal RNA
Source: RNAcentral